RNAcentral lists this ribosomal RNA (253 nucleotides) under uncultured bacterium. RNAcentral's name for it is "partial 16S ribosomal RNA". It matches the Rfam family "Bacterial small subunit ribosomal RNA", at positions 524 to 776 of the family's 1533-position model. The record is from RNAcentral.
UACGUAGGGUGCAAGCGUUAAUCGGAAUUACUGGGCGUAAAGUGUGCGCAGGUGGCCGAGCAAGUCGAGUGUGAAAUCCCCGGGCUUAACCUGGGAACUGCAUUUGUGACUGCAUCGCUGGAGUGCGGCAGAGGGGGAUGGAAUUCCGCGUGUAGCAGUGAAAUGCGUAGAUAUGCGGAGGAACACCGAUGGCGAAGGCAAUCCCCUGGGCCUGCACUGACGCUCAUGCACGAAAGCGUGGGGAGCAAACAGG